RNAcentral lists this ribosomal RNA (534 nucleotides) under uncultured fungus. Its description in RNAcentral is "eukaryotic LSU rRNA". The stretch from base 191 to 344 matches the Rfam family "5.8S ribosomal RNA". Lineage: Eukaryota; Fungi. The record is from RNAcentral.
GGUCUCCGUAGGUGAACCUGCGGAGGGAUCAUUACAAGUGACCCCAGUCUAACCACCGGGAUGUUCAUAACCCUUUGUUGUCCGACUCUGUUGCCUCCGGGGCGACCCUGCCUUCGGGCGGGGGCUCCGGGUGGACACUUCAAACUCUUGCGUAACUUUGCAGUCUGAGUAAACUUAAUUAAUAAAUUAAAACUUUUAACAACGGAUCUCUUGGUUCUGGCAUCGAUGAAGAACGCANCGAAAUGCGAUAAGUAAUGUGAAUUGCAGAAUUCANUGAAUCAUCGAAUCUUUGAACGCACAUUGCGCCCCCUGGUAUUCCGGGGGGCAUGCCUGUUCGAGNGUCAUUUCACCACUCAAGCCUCGCUUGGUAUUGGGCAACGCGGUCCGCCGCGUGCCUCAAAUCGACCGGCUGGGUCUUCUGUCCCCUAAGCGUUGUGGAAACUAUUCGCUAAAGGGUGUUCGGGAGGCUACGCCGUAAAACAACCCCAUUUCUAAGGUUGACCUCGGAUCAGGUAGGGAUACCCGCUGAACUUA